AGUGAACGCUGGCGGUAGGCCUAACACAUGCAAGUCGAACGGCAGCACAGUAAGAGCUUGCUCUUACGGGUGGCGAGUGGCGGACGGGUGAGGAAUACAUCGGAAUCUACUUUUUCGUGGGGGAUAACGUAGGGAAACUUACGCUAAUACCGCAUACGACCUACGGGUGAAAGCAGGGGAUCUUCGGACCUUGCGCGAUUGAAUGAGCCGAUGUCGGAUUAGCUAGUUGGCGGGGUAAAGGCCCACCAAGGCGACGAUCCGUAGCUGGUCUGAGAGGAUGAUCAGCCACACUGGAACUGAGACACGGUCCAGACUCCUACGGGAGGCCGCAGUGGGGAAUAUUGGACAAUGGGCGCAAGCCUGAUCCAGCCAUACCGCGUGGGUGAAGAAGGCCUUCGGGUUGUAAAGCCCUUUUGUUGGGAAAGAAAAGCAGCAGGUUAAUACCCCGCUGUUCUGACGGUACCCAAAGAAUAAGCGCCGGCUAACUUCGUG
Molecule: ribosomal RNA, 492 nt
Filed under: uncultured bacterium
Lineage: Bacteria
Description: partial 16S ribosomal RNA
Rfam family: Bacterial small subunit ribosomal RNA
Source: RNAcentral